AACACUUGGAAACAGGUGCUAAUACCGUAUAACAAUCGAAACCGCAUGGUUUUGAUUUGAAAGGCGCUUUCGGGUGUCGCUGAUGGAUGGACCCGCGGUGCAUUAGCUAGUUGGUGAGGUAACGGCUCACCAAGGCCACGAUGCAUAGCCGACCUGAGAGGGUGAUCGGCCACAUUGGGACUGAGACACGGCCCAAACUCCUACGGGAGGCAGCAGUAGGGAAUCUUCGGCAAUGGACGAAAGUCUGACCGAGCAACGCCGCGUGAGUGAAGAAGGUUUUCGGAUCGUAAAACUCUGUUGUUAGAGAAGAACAAGGAUGAGAGUAACUGUUCAUCCCUUGACGGUAUCUAACCAGAAAGCCACGGCUAACUACGUGCCAGCAGCCGCGGUAAUACGUAGGUGGCAAGCGUUGUCCGGAUUUAUUGGGCGUAAAGCGAGCGCAGGCGGUUUCUUAAGUCUGAUGUGAAAGCCCCCGGCUCAACCGGGGAGGGUCAU
RNAcentral lists this ribosomal RNA (495 nucleotides) under Enterococcus faecium. RNAcentral describes it as "bacterial SSU rRNA". It matches the Rfam family "Bacterial small subunit ribosomal RNA", at positions 145 to 626 of the family's 1533-position model. The record is from RNAcentral. Lineage: Bacteria; Bacillati; Bacillota; Bacilli; Lactobacillales; Enterococcaceae.